This 2811-nucleotide long non-coding RNA is filed under the name Paramuricea clavata. Lineage: Eukaryota; Metazoa; Cnidaria; Anthozoa; Malacalcyonacea; Plexauridae. The record is from RNAcentral.
AUGCUUUGGACUAAUCACGUGCUUGCGCGUUUGGUAUAGUAAUUUGAUACUAUUUACACUCAGACGCUGUAGCUUUUUUCAAAAGUGGGAAGAUUAUUAUUCAAAUUUUCUUGUAUAUUAACUCAACAAGACUAAACAAUUGUACUUGGACUUUGCUUCGAAGGUAUGUUUGUUGUGUAUUUACUAUUCAGCAAUUAAUAUCUAUUAUCUAUACGAAUACUUGCUCGACAUGCAGUUCUGUGUCUGUGAAGGUUUGAUCUGAGUUAUUUAUAUCUAAAUCUUGAAUUCAUUUUUGCAGUAGAUACUGAGCGAAUAGUUUGUGAGUUGUUCGCGACCAACACAUUUAAUAAAAUGCGAAAGUAGCAAGUUUUAUAUUUGUUAAUAGGCAAAUGAUGGACACCAAGACGAGCAUCGAUCUUCAAUAUGACAAUUUGUAUUAAUUUUAAUAAUUUAGAAUUCGAUAGUUGUAUGCAUCUGGGACGAUUUUAAGAGAAACAUACUUCUACUCAUUUUAGCCAGGUAGUGAUCCAAGACUACCUCUCUUACUGAUUACUAUUUCUUAGGUUAAGAGUUCAGGAUUCCUAUGAGGGGAGAGUUGAUGAGGGUGAAGCCACUCAAGCCAGAAGGUAAACAAUUAGAAUACAGCACUUGCAUUAGAACUGGACUACAUUUCUACUAAUUACUAUUUGAAAUUUCACAGUGUAUAUGUGUAUAAUUUUCAGUCACCAUAUGGGCAAUGUUAUUUUUGUGUGAUAAUGACCAAUCACAAAUCGGCAAACUUGAAUUUGUUCCAGAACCAAUGAAGUUUGAAUUAUAAACUACAGUACAUCAUGCUAAAAAAGAUAUGAAACAUUUUACUUUGUCCGUUGUUCAAGAAAAGCUGAUAAAUGUCCGACUAUAUUUUAUCUUGGCUGGACAUUUGUCCUUCCAAGCAAAAUAAUUAUUUGCAGGUCUGGUUAACUAGACACAUGGGCAGAUAGGCCAGUUAACCCAUUAACCAGCGCUCUCCACUUGAUGAGUAAAAUUGUUAGGGGUGCACCGGAACUCGGUUCCGGCCGGUUAGUUCCGGCCGGGACCCGGUUUUUUAGAGUUCCGGGUCGGGCCGGAACUAGUAAAAAAAGCAUGGCCGGAACCGGAACUCUGUCGUUUUCAGGGAGAUAGAAUAUCAAACGUUUUUGUGUCUAACAAAAGGUCACAGUAGGAAGAAAGUUGGACUACGCAAGGGAAAUGUACACUAUUAACACUUCAUUAUGACGUUUAACGUUUGUCAGUCUUUUAUUCUGACAUUUGCGAACUCUCUACUUGAUGAUUUGAAGUGUCUGCUUGUCUGGCAGCGGACAAAGUAACAUAUGACUAUAUAUGGCUUAAUAAAUUAGUUCCGGUUCCGGCCGGAACUUUUUUCCAGUUCUGGUCGGAUCCGGUUCCGGCCGGAACUUAAAAAACCGGUUCCGGUGCAUCCCUAAAAAUUGUUUGGCGUUAGACAGAGUAAAAUAAUUUGGCAAGCGUUAGACAGUAAAAUAAUAAAGUAGGCUGCAUCAGGGUGCAAUGCAACUUAAUGGGUUAAAGUGUGUAAUGAUGAUUAUGUUAGAUUAUUGAAUAUCAGAUGUAUAUCUGGGUAGUAAAAAUUACUAUGUGGUGCACCAUUUUUGUCCAAACAAUGUAACAGAAUACCAGAAUUGAUUAGUUCAUGUGUACUGAUUCGACCACAUGCUCACUUCGUAUAUAGUAUCAGGCCUAAAAAAUACCUGUGGUUCCGGUUCAUGACCGACGCUAUUUUUUUCUGCCGACCCUAUUAUUUUUUCAACGCGAUUGACUGUGCGACCCUAUUUUCUCUGGGUGGUUGCGGGCUGCUCAUACAGUGUGCCAAAAUGGCAUCUGUUUUUACUUUUCACACUAAUUAUUGAACCAAAUUGCCUAAAUUUGUCCAUAGGAAAUACACAUCUCUAGUUAAUAUUGAUGUCGGAACUCACUGCAAAUCGCCCAGCAAAAACCCACCAAACCCAUGAAAAUUGUGUUUCCGACCUACCGACCCUAAUUUUUUUACGAUAUGAAACUGGAACCACAGGUAUUUUUUUAAGCCUUACUAGCAAUUACUUUCUGGAUAAUCAAUAAUUUUCUGCUGCUGUAAUAUCAACCUUAUAUUUUUUAUUAGGGGUUGUUUUCAUGAAUUCAUGUUCCCACCACCACUAAAAUCACCACCUCACAGAAUGGCAAUAUAAUCACGAUAGACCAGUAAAUCUACUUCAUCGCCUAUAUGGGGAACAUUAUUUUCUGGCGAGAACAUGGCCGUUGAAUACCAAAGUAAGGAAGGAAAAGAGUUACAGAGUUGUGGUAUGCAACUUGAAUGUUUAGUACUAAAGUUGACAUUUAUGACAUUAUGUGAUUUAUGUAUCAGACAAAUGUCCUGUCAAGUCAAAUAUUUAUUUGCAGCCCCGCUGUAUAUAUGUGAGUAAAUAGGUUGGCUGGGGUGCCUUGGUGUUGGUAACAGACAAACAGUGAGGGAGUCUACCCCAUUUUCAUCUUCCCAGACCUGAGAGAUAGAUUGUUGAAGAGGAUGCCAUUCCUACCUAGAACAUACCACACCGAAGUACUACUCAUACACAGACAGGACAGUUGCUGUGUUGGUGUCACCCAGGAUUCGAAACUGCAACCUUGUGUUUACAAGCCCAACGCUCCACAACUGAGCUAACUGGGUGAAUCAGACACAAGGCAGCAGGUUUGAUGUAUUUAUAUACUGUACUAUAUGCAGUUAUAUAUUAUACUUAUAAUCAUUCUCAAUAGAACAGAAUGUAAAAGGGUUUUUGUAGAUGG